UACGUAGGUGACAAGCGUUAUCCGGAAUUAUUGGGCGUAAAGAGCGCGCAGGUGGUUGAUUAAGUCUGAUGUGAAAGCCCACGGCUUAACCGUGGAGGGUCGAUUGGAAGCUGGUCGACUUGAGUGCAGAAGAGGGAAGUGGAAUUCCAUGUGUAGCGGUGAAAUGCGUAGAGAUAUGGAGGAACACCAGUGGCGAAGGCGGCUUCCUGGUCUGUAACUGACACUGAGGCGCGAAAGCGUGGGGAGGCAAACAGGAUUAGA
RNAcentral lists this ribosomal RNA (261 nucleotides) under uncultured prokaryote. Its description in RNAcentral is "partial 16S ribosomal RNA". It matches the Rfam family "Bacterial small subunit ribosomal RNA", at positions 524 to 782 of the family's 1533-position model. The record is from RNAcentral.